UGGGGAAUUUUGGACAAUGGGGAAACCCUGAUCCAGCCAUCCCGCGUGUGCGAUGAAGGCCUUCGGUUUGUAAAGCACUUUUGGCAGGAAAGAAACGUCAUGGGUUAAUACCCCGUGAAACUGACGGUACCUGCAGAAUAAGCACCGGCUAACUACGUGCCAGCAGCCGCGGUAAUACGUAGGGUGCAAGCGUUAAUCGGAAUUACUGGGCGUAAAGCGUGCGCAGGCGGUUCGGAAAGAAAGAUGUGAAAUCCCAGAGCUCAACUUUGGAACUGCAUUUUUAACUGCCGGGCUAGAGUGUGUCAGAGGGAGGUGGAAUUCCGCGUGUAGCAGUGAAAUGCGUAGAUAUGCGGAGGAACACCGAUGGCGAAGGCAGCCUCCUGGGAUAACACUGACGCUCAUGCACGAAAGCGUGGGGAGCAAACAGG
RNAcentral lists this ribosomal RNA (428 nucleotides) under Acidobacteriota bacterium. RNAcentral's name for it is "Acidobacteria bacterium partial 16S ribosomal RNA". It matches the Rfam family "Bacterial small subunit ribosomal RNA", at positions 355 to 776 of the family's 1533-position model. The record is from RNAcentral. Lineage: Bacteria; Pseudomonadati; Acidobacteriota.